AGCUCACGGCCUUCUUCCUCUUCCCAGUGCCCACGACCUCCUGAGACUCUCCACUUCUCACAAGCCAUCAGCCCAUGUAAAGAUGGCUUUCAGCUGUUUCCUCAAGACUCCUGGUAACCUCUUGAAAAAGCCGUAUUUAUUGUAUGUGUGUUUUAACAUUAUAAAUGUAAUCUGCAUUUGAUGCACAAAACCCAGAAGAGUAAAAAGAAGCGAAAACUCGUGACAGUCCCACUACCAAGGACACGCUCAUUGGCAAAACCCAACCAGAAGCCAGAGCAGAGAGCCUGGGCACUGUGUCCUAUAGAGGUUACAGAUCCAAGUUCACAGACCAAGGUCGAAAGACGUGGAAAAUGGGUCUCAUGGCAAGCGGAAGCACAGAGAAUUAGCCAGGAUAAAGACGAGAAGAAAAUUAAAAAUCCUUCAGAAGUCCACCAUCCAGAGCUCUCUGACGCAGUGGAGACAUGGAGAAUGUAAAGAACGGUGCCCUCGCGUGCCUGCCUAGGGGCUGUGCCAUCUGCAGGCUGUGACUUUCGUGUCAUAUCUGUGAAGACUCCCGUCCUGGGCUGCUGUGGAGCCUCAUUCUUCUCCACCCCCGUUUCCCAGGACAUGAAGAGAGGGGUGCCCAUGGACGCAGCACUCUGGAUGGUGUCCUGAUAUUUCGGACAGACAAUUGCUUGUUCAUGUUCACUCAGGAAGAGGAAGUCGAGUAUUGUGUAAUUAAACGGAAUCAGGAGAAUUUACGCUGAUAUUUGGUCAAAUCCUGUCACCAGCAGACAGACUAGCCUUUGUUGCUUCCCCGGAGUGGCCCUGGACACUCUCUCUCCCCCAUACUUUCUGGGGCUUUCUGUUCCAGUCUGCAAAAUUAACUCCUGCAAAUGAAACAAGAAACAAGAUCUGGACACUGCAAAUCCACCAACCGAGAUCAGAUAUGUCUUUUGAGGCAUGAAAGCAAAGAUUUUCUGUGAUUUUUCAGAGCCUUCCCAGUUGCAAGAUUUUCCUGGAAAUCCACAACUGAGUAGCAUUUUUAUUUGGUCAGCGCAAAUUCUGGAGACUUCAUCAGAGGACGCUGCAAGUGGCUAAUCUGGAGGAGCAACAAGUCACUGCUAUGGGAGCAGAUGUAGAGACUGACGCUGCAGGUUGAAGUGCUUGCUGUUACCAGCCUGUGGACCACCCAGGCCCCCUUUGCAGGCUUUGAAAAGCAAGAAGAAUUGAAGGUGACCCCGACCAGACACAGUUUCCUUUCCCUGUUCAUUGUGAAGACACUGAAUAUCUAACAACUGGACUUAGCAAAACAAAAGACAAACCACCUGCCAGUCACCAGGGUAUCUUGACGGACAUUCAGAAAGUCAGCUGGGCCUCAGUGCAGCAGCUGACCACUUUCCAACGUGGUCAUGUCGCUGGUAAAAAUUUUCGGGUGUCUUUCUCUUUGUCGAUGUCUGUAUUUCUUGAAAAGCUUUACAUGAAUUGAAUCGUAGUUUAAACUCAUCUGAGCUUUACCCGUUUAACCUAAAACGCCACUGGCCUCUGUUUCUCAGACUUUGACAUGCACACAAAUGACCUGGUGAUCUGUUAAAAUACAGUAUCUGACGGGGGGUGGGGUGUCUAAGAUUCUGCAUGUGUUCCACACGUUCUCAGGGGCAAGGUUAUGGUACGCCCUUGACAACCCAAAUCCAAAUUCCCCAAAUGGCACUGCAGUAACCCCUCGAUUUUAGUAGACAGGGCUGUUUCUUGCAUUUGUCAGGGGGAUAGAGAAUUGCUGUGUGAAGUACUGUUCUAAAUGCUGUGUGUUGUACAAAGAAUGGAAGCUUUCCCCCACAUGUGACUCAUGUGUUCCUUUAAGUUGGAUAUCUCAUGCCAAAGCUCAUCCUUCUUUCUCCCCAGCAAGUCUUAGGGUGCUGAAGAGCUAAUUCGCUACAUGGCGGCAGCUUUUUUAGGCCAAGUGCCCUCUGGAAAUUAUUUUGGCCAUGUCAUCUGUCCCCACUGAUGUACAGACAUCACCAGGAACUCUGGCGAGGAUGGCCAGAGGGAGGUAUGAAGUGGACCAAGCUGCGAACACCAGUUCUCCCACCCACAGACCCCCAAACCAGUUUCUCUCGGUUUCCUUUGUGGGGAACUUGCUGGAACCACUAAUUCAUCGUGAUGUUUAAGGCGCGUCGUCAAGCACAACAGGGUUAUUUUCAAAAACUGAACCGUUUUUGGUGAUCUUACAUGAGCCACAGAAUGUGAAAGUAGUCAUUUUUAUAAAGUGCCUGAAAAAGCCUAGUAAUUAUUGUUCCAAACAAGCCGGUCUUUCUCUUCAGUUUGUCUGACAUGGAAAGAAAAAGAAAAUCCCUUCCAAAUGAGCGGUCUUUUAGUGAGCUGUACUCGCCCUGGCUGGAUCCAGGUCAGCGGGGACGGGGGACCCCUGCUUUUCUCUCCAGCUGCAUCUUGUCCUGUGGUCCAAAAACACCCCUCCAAGCAGCUGUCUCUGGUGGGAGAGCAUGUUUACAAUCACGGCGCUCUGUGUUUUACAGUUUCCGAGAGGGGCAGUGGUGGGCAAGAACGGGAUUUAUUUUUUACUUACAUCUAAACAGUCAAUGAAAUAUUACUGUAAUCUCUUACUGAGCUCAUGGAAAAACUCAAGUCAUCGAAUGUUAGUUUUACAGAUGAGGGAAGUUUUACAGCAACAUUACCUGACUGGCUCCAAAGCCCGUAAAUCUUGCUACAGGGAGAGUUAGGCUGGGAAAGCAGGGCUCCCGGGCUCUUACACACGAGAUGCAUCUUCCCUAAAACUGCGAUGCAGCUAAUGCUCCAGCCCCGGGGGAAAUUUCAAGCCUGGGCUUGGAUCUCUUUGAGUGCUUCCUAAUGUCCUGUGCCAAGCAGUCAUGUUGAAACAGAGAAACGUUCUGCUUGAAAUUAAUUAAAAGAUCAUUUUCACAUGAUCGCUUCUAGAGUUGUUAAUCAGUGACCUCUAUUAUAUAAAACAGUUACUGGGGAGAAGUAAGCAACUCAUAUGCAUCGACCACUUGACUUGAGUUAUAUUAUAAUCUACCCUAAAUCCUAUGGGGUAGUUUUGAUUAUCAUCUCUAUGAGAUAAGUAGCAGUUGAAGCUCAGAGGAAUUGACCAGCUUGCCCAAGGCCACACAGCUUAUAAGGAGCUGGGAUUUGAAC
Molecule: long non-coding RNA, 3150 nt
Organism: Lynx canadensis (Canada lynx)
Lineage: Eukaryota; Metazoa; Chordata; Mammalia; Carnivora; Felidae
Exons: 8
Source: RefSeq, a predicted model, not a curated record